UGGACUCUGUCGUGUUACUACGACUGGUCUGAAAUGCCUGAGUGCACCCUGCUGUUGCAGCGUCUUCAGUGUGAUAAACAUCUUCACUGGAAAAAGUUCCUUCGGGACACGUAGCAUUGUAGGCUCUGUGCUGACCAACCGUCUUUGGACAGCUUUGACAAUUUGACCUCAAAUCGGGUGGGACUACCCGCUGAACUUAA
This 200-nucleotide unclassified non-coding RNA is filed under the name soil metagenome. RNAcentral's name for it is "partial contains internal transcribed spacer 2 and large subunit ribosomal RNA". The record is from RNAcentral.